GGCCUUUGGAAGGGGCUGUAAAAGAACCUAAGUUUCAUACGUGAAGAAUUUCAACACAGUGAUCCAGCAGAUUAAACUCUCACACUUCUCUGUUCUUGGCCUGAAAGCUGAAAAUGAAUAAAGAAAAUGUGUAGUGAGGUGAGAUGCAAAUGUUAGAUAGUUUUAGUGCUUGUAGAACUUCCAAAUCUUGAUUUGUAAUAUCAGAAGCAGUUAAACAGUUUAACAGUUAUCUUUCUCUGCCACUAACUGGAAAAAAUAAUGUGUUGAACGUAAGUGAAUGCUCACUGCCUAUGUAUACCUGUGUAAGAAUCAAUAAAUGUUUUGCAGUUCUUCAUUCACAAUGAGAAAAUUAUAAUCAAUGGGCAUUUUAGAAACAGAAGUUAAUUGUACACUUCAGCGAGAUGAUACAGAUAAGUAAUGGCUUCAGGCAGACAACUACUCCUCUAUUUAUAGCUAGAUAGCUGAGGACAGAAGAAAGGGAAGUGAGUGGGAGAGAAAACAAAUCCCCAAAUAAUAGCUAGUGAUUGCUUCUUGGUGACACAUCCUUUUCUAUUUUAUUUUCAUUCCUCUCUUUACCACAGGACCUCUUCUGGAAAUUAUACUUUUCAGGUUCCAUCUACCUGGCCCCCCUGAGGCAGCCACCAGGCCUCAGUGCCCACUGGAGAACAAGUGGCCCCGCUGGGCCCUGCUGAGAAUUGAUGCGAGGCUGAGGUUGGUGCCCUGCACCAGCCAGGAAGCUCUGGAUGUUCAUGUGGAUCUAGCUCUGACCUAUUUUAGGUGUUUACAUCUCAAGGGAGAUGAAUCAGGAAGAAACACCACUGAAGAGAUAUGUAGACAUUAGAGGCAUGUAAACAUUUUCCCCGUAAAUAUUCCCAAAGUCUAGACCCACACAAAAGCUGGAACUUAUCAGGUCAGUCCUUAUUGCACAAUUUACAAUGGAAAGCACUUAGAUGUUUUCCCAAAGGCAGGAACCUAGUACCCAGAGUAAUGAAGAGUCUUCUUCUAGGACCUGUUCCUAGCUCUCACACCUAAUCUGGAAAGCAGAGAAUGAAAAGAAAGCAAUUGCAGACACACCAAACAUAUAAACAAACAAACAACAGGACCAUAGAAACCAUGCACUGUUUUCUAACUCUUUAUAUCUGGGAGAUAAUUACUGUUAAUAUCCAAUCACUAUGUGUGGG
RNAcentral lists this long non-coding RNA (1181 nucleotides) under Coturnix japonica (Japanese quail). RNAcentral's name for it is "lncRNA (ENSCJPG00005005990.1)". Lineage: Eukaryota; Metazoa; Chordata; Aves; Galliformes; Phasianidae. The record is from RNAcentral.